Molecule: ribosomal RNA, 397 nt
Filed under: uncultured bacterium
Lineage: Bacteria
Description: partial 16S ribosomal RNA
Rfam family: Bacterial small subunit ribosomal RNA
Source: RNAcentral
AUACGUAGGUGACAAGCGUUAUCCGGAUUUACUGGGCGUAAAGGGCGUGUAGGCGGUCUUGCAAGUCAGAAGUGAAAUUCCUGAGCUCAACUCGGGCGCUGCUUCUGAAACUGCAGGCCUUGAGUGCUGGAGGGGAUAGCGGAAUUCCUAGUGGAGCGGUAAAAUGCGCAGAUAUUAGGAAGAACACCGGUGGCGAAGGCGGAUAUCUGGAUAGUAACUGACGCUGAGGCGCGAAAGCGUGGGGAGCAAACAGGAUUAGAUACCCUGGUAUUCCACGCCGUAAACGAUGAAUACUAGGUGUAGGGGGUAUCGACUCCCUCUGUGCCGCAGUUAACACAAUAAGUAUUCCGCCUGGGGAGUACGGCCGCAAGGUUGAAACUCAAAUGAAUUGACGGGG